GGUGGUUCAGUGGUAGAGUGUUUGCCUUGCAUGCAUGAGGCCCGGGGUUCAAUUCCUCAGCACCA
Molecule: transfer RNA, 65 nt
Filed under: Dipodomys ordii (Ord's kangaroo rat)
Lineage: Eukaryota; Metazoa; Chordata; Mammalia; Rodentia; Heteromyidae
Rfam family: tRNA
About the family: Transfer RNA (tRNA) molecules are approximately 80 nucleotides in length.
Source: Rfam by way of RNAcentral